RNAcentral lists this ribosomal RNA (416 nucleotides) under Leptomantis gadingensis (Gunung Gading tree frog). Its description in RNAcentral is "partial 12S ribosomal RNA". It matches the Rfam family "Bacterial small subunit ribosomal RNA", at positions 772 to 1404 of the family's 1533-position model. Lineage: Eukaryota; Metazoa; Chordata; Amphibia; Anura; Rhacophoridae. The record is from RNAcentral.
CGGGGAAUAUACCCCACUAUGCCAAACCGUAAAAUUUAAUUUACACCAUAAACGCCAGGGAAAUACGAGCCUAGCUUAAAACCCAAAGGACUUGACGGUGUCCUAUCCAACUAGAGGAGCCUGUUCUAUAAUCGAUGAUCCACGAUACACCUAACCACUUUUUGUUAAUCAGCCUGUAUACCUCCGUCGCAAGCUUACCGUAUGAACAUACAACAGUAGGCCCAAAGACUUAAACGCCACAACGUCAGGUCAAGGUGCAGCUUAUAAAAUGGAAGAAAUGGGCUACAAUUUCUAAACUAGAACAAACGAAAAACUACAUGAAACAUAGUCAUGAAGGAGGAUUUAGCAGUAAGUAAGAAAUAGAGAGUUUUACUAAAUCUGGCCCUAGGACGUGUACACACCGCCCGGUCACCCUC